RNAcentral lists this ribosomal RNA (497 nucleotides) under uncultured bacterium. RNAcentral describes it as "partial 16S ribosomal RNA". It matches the Rfam family "Bacterial small subunit ribosomal RNA", at positions 28 to 507 of the family's 1533-position model. The record is from RNAcentral.
GAUGAACGCUGGCGGCGUGCCUAAUACAUGCAAGUCGAGCGAACGGACGAGAAGCUUGCUUCUCUGAUGUUAGCGGCGGACGGGUGAGUAACACGUGGAUAACCUACCUAUAAGACUGGGAUAACUUCGGGAAACCGGAGCUAAUACCGGAUGAUAUUUUGAACCGCAUGGUUCAAAAGUGAAAGACGGUCUUGAUGUCACUUAUAGAUGGAUCCGCGCUGCAUUAGCUAGUUGGUAAGGUAACGGCUUACCAAGGCAACGAUGCAUAGCCGACCUGAGAGGGUGAUCGGCCACACUGGAACUGAGACACGGUCCAGACUCCUACGGGAGGCAGCAGUAGGGAAUCUUCCGCAAUGGGCGAAAGCCUGACGGAGCAACGCCGCGUGAGUGAUGAAGGUCUUCGGAUCGUAAAACUCUGUUAUUAGGGAAGAACAUAUGUGUAAGUAACUGUGCACAUCUUGACGGUACCUAAUCAGAAAGCCACGGCUAACUACGUG